UGCAAUGGCCGGGAAUCGAACCCGGGGCGCCCACGUGUCAGGCGAGCAUUCUACCACUGAACCAAAAGC
This 69-nucleotide transfer RNA is filed under the name Cordylochernes scorpioides. Its description in RNAcentral is "tRNA-Val". The record is from RNAcentral. Lineage: Eukaryota; Metazoa; Arthropoda; Arachnida; Pseudoscorpiones; Chernetidae.